RNAcentral lists this ribosomal RNA (440 nucleotides) under uncultured bacterium. RNAcentral's name for it is "partial 16S ribosomal RNA". It matches the Rfam family "Bacterial small subunit ribosomal RNA", at positions 338 to 795 of the family's 1533-position model. The record is from RNAcentral.
CCUACGGGUGGCAGCAGUGGGGAAUAUUGCACAAUGGGGGAAACCCUGAUGCAGCGACGCCGCGUGAGUGAAGAAGUAUUUCGGUACGUAAAGCUCUAUCAGCAGGGAAGAAAAUGACGGUACCUGACUAAGAAGCCCCGGCUAACUACGUGCCAGCAGCCGCGGUAAUACGUAGGGGGCAAGCGUUAUCCGGAUUUACUGGGUGUAAAGGGAGCGUAGACGGCAGCGCAAGUCUGGAGUGAAAUCCCAUGGCUUAACCAUGGAACUGCUUUGGAAACUGUGCAGCUAGAGUGCAGGAGAGGUAAGCGGAAUGCCUAGUGUAGCGGUGAAAUGCGUAGAUAUUAGGAAGAACACCGGUGGCGAAGGCAGCUUACUGGACUGUAACUGACGUUGAGGCUCGAAAGCGUGGGGAGCAAACAGGAUUAGAUACCCCGGUAGUC